This 569-nucleotide ribosomal RNA is filed under the name Colletotrichum sp. FT2. Its description in RNAcentral is "eukaryotic LSU rRNA". The stretch from base 227 to 380 matches the Rfam family "5.8S ribosomal RNA". Lineage: Eukaryota; Fungi; Ascomycota; Sordariomycetes; Glomerellales; Glomerellaceae. The record is from RNAcentral.
GGAAGUAAAAAUCGUAACAAGGUCUCCGUUGGUGAACCAGCGGAGGGAUCAUUACUGAGUUUACGCUCUACAACCCUUUGUGAACAUACCUAUAACUGUUGCUUCGGCGGGUAGGGUCUCCGCGACCCUCCCGGCCUCCCGCCUCCGGGCGGGUCGGCGCCCGCCGGAGGAUAACCAAACUCUGAUUUAACGACGUUUCUUCUGAGUGGUACAAGCAAAUAAUCAAAACUUUUAACAACGGAUCUCUUGGUUCUGGCAUCGAUGAAGAACGCAGCGAAAUGCGAUAAGUAAUGUGAAUUGCAGAAUUCAGUGAAUCAUCGAAUCUUUGAACGCACAUUGCGCCCGCCAGCAUUCUGGCGGGCAUGCCUGUUCGAGCGUCAUUUCAACCCUCAAGCUCUGCUUGGUGUUGGGGCCCUACAGCUGAUGUAGGCCCUCAAAGGUAGUGGCGGACCCUCUCGGAGCCUCCUUUGCGUAGUAACUUUACGUCUCGCACUGGGAUCCGGAGGGACUCUUGCCGUAAAACCCCCAAUUUCCAAAGGUUGACCUCGAUCAGGUAGAAUCCAAUAUAG